RNAcentral lists this ribosomal RNA (1985 nucleotides) under activated sludge metagenome. Its description in RNAcentral is "bacterial LSU rRNA". It matches the Rfam family "Bacterial large subunit ribosomal RNA", at positions 1 to 1984 of the family's 2925-position model. The record is from RNAcentral.
AAAAGCAAAAAAGAGCGAACGGUGGAUGCCUUGGCUCUGGGAGGCGAAGAAGGACGUGACAAGCUGCGAAAAGCUUGGGGGAGGUGCAAAUAACCGUCGAUCCCGAGAUGUCCGAAUGGGGGAACCCGGCACAGUGAAGCUGUGUCAUUCUGUUUAAGACAGAAGGCGAACGUGGGGAACUGAAACAUCUUAGUACCCAUAGGAGAAGAAAACAAAAGUGAUUGCGCAAGUAGUGGCGAGCGAACGCGCAGGAGCCCAAACCAAUGCUGUAGCGAUGCAGGAUUGGGGUAAUAGGACUGCCCACACAGUAGAGAGACACUAAACUGGAACGUAUCUGGAAAGAUAGACCGAAGAAGGUGAAAGUCCGGUACAGGAAAGGUGUUGAUUUACGGGCAUGAUCCUGAGUAGUGCGGGACACGAGAAAUCCUGUAUGAAAUAGGCGGGACCAUCCGCUAAGGCUAAAUACUCCCCAGAGACCGAUAGUGAACCAGUACUGUGAAGGAAAGGUGAAAAGCACUCCGAAUAGGAGGGUGAAAGAGAUCCUGAAACCGUUCGCUUACAAGCGGUCGGAGUUUCGCCUAAGGCGGAAUGACGGCGUGCCUUUUGCAUAAUGAACCUACGAGUUACUUACACUGGCGAGGUUAAGCUUUUAAGGAGCGGAGCCGAAGCGAAAGCGAGUCUGAAGAGGGCGAAAUCAAUAGUCAGUGUGAGUAGACGCGAAACCAAGUGAUCUACCCUUGAGCAGGCUGAAGUUUCGGUAACACGGGAUGGAGGGCCGAACCGGUAAACGUUGAAAAGUUUUCGGAUGACUUGAGGGUAGGGGUGAAAGGCUAAUCAAACUUGGAGAUAGCUCGUACUCCCCGAAAUGCAUUUAGGUGCAGCCUUGUGUUAAAGAGUUUAUAAGAGGUAGAGCGACUGAUUGGAUGCGAGGGUUUCAACGCCUAUCAAGUCCAGACAAACUCCGAAUGGUUAUAAAUGAUACACAGGAGUGAGGGCGCGGGUGCUAAGGUCCGUGUCCGAGAGGAGAAGAAUCCAGACCAUCAGCUAAGGUCCCGAAAUAUAUGCUAAGUUGAAACAAACGAAGUCCGGCUGCUAAGACAGCUAGGAUGUUGGCUUGGAAGCAGCCAUUCAUUCAAAGAGUGCGUAACAGCUCACUAGUCGAGCGGCCAGGCAUGGAUAAUAAUCGGGCAUAAGCAUAUUACCGAAGCUAUGGGAUCGAGAGAUCGGUAGGGGAGCAUUCCGGCGGCGUAGAAGGUUUAUCGGGAGAUAGGCUGGAGCUUCCGGAAAAGCAAAUGUAGGUAUAAGUAACGAUAAUGCGGGCGAGAAACCCGCACGCCGGGAGACUAAGGGUUCCUGAUCAACGAUAAUCGGAUCAGGGUAAGUCGGGGCCUAAGAUUCAUCCCAAGGGAGAGGUCGAUGGAAGAACAGGUUAAUAAUCCUGUACUACUUAAUGGAGUGAAGCAGGGACGCAGGAGUGAAAGUCCGGCGUGCUGACGGAAUAGCACGUUAAAGGGGGUAGAUGCAGAGGAAAGCAGGCAAAUCCGUUUUCCGAGUCGAGCCUGAUAGUACCGAGCGCACUUGUGCAAUCGGAUAAGGAUGUAAGCAGGCUGCCAAGAAAAACUGCUAAGCGAUAAUUCAUUAAGUACCCGUACUCAAAACGGACACACGUAGUCGAGUAGAAAAUACUAAGGCGCUCGAGAGAUUCACAGCUAAGGAACUAGGCAAAAUAGUCAUGUAACUUCGGGAAAAAUGACGCCUCCCCGUGUUGAGCGGGAGGCCGCAGAGAAAUGGCCCAGGCGACUGUUUACCAAAAACACAGGGCUUUGCAAAAACGAAAGUUGAGGUAUAAGGCCUGACACCUGCCCGGUGCCGGAAGGUUAAGAGGAGAUGUUAGCGCAAGCGAAGCAUUGAAUUGAAGCCCCGGUAAACGGCGGCCGUAACUAUAACGGUCCUAAGGUAGCGAAAUUCCUUGUCGGGUAAGUUCC